UUGGAGGGCAAGUCUGGUGCCAGCAGCCGCGGUAAUUCCAGCUCCAAUAGCGUAUAUUAAAGUUGUUGCAGUUAAAAAGCUCGUAGUUGAAUUUCGGGGUUAGUAGGCUGGUCGUGCCACCGGUACGUACUGGUCUUUCUGAUUCCUCCUUCCUGAUGAACUGUAAUGCCAUUAAUUGGUGUUGCAGGGAAUCUGGACUGUUACUUUAGAAAAACUUAGAGUGUUUAAAGCAGGCUAACGCUUAGAAUACAUUAGC
Molecule: ribosomal RNA, 256 nt
Filed under: Rhizophagus intraradices
Lineage: Eukaryota; Fungi; Glomeromycota; Glomeromycetes; Glomerales; Glomeraceae
Description: partial small subunit ribosomal RNA
Rfam family: Eukaryotic small subunit ribosomal RNA
Source: RNAcentral